Molecule: long non-coding RNA, 1064 nt
Organism: Perca fluviatilis (European perch)
Lineage: Eukaryota; Metazoa; Chordata; Actinopteri; Perciformes; Percidae
Exons: 2
Source: RefSeq, a predicted model, not a curated record
UUUUAAUAUACAGUAUAUAUAUAUAUACAGUAUAUAUGGCACAUAUAUUUCCUGGCCGCCUCCAGGAACAUAUUUCCUGAAAAGGGCAAGAUGUGCCAAAACACAAAAAUAACAAUUUGUAAUUUGCAUUUACUGUGGGAGUGGGUUAAGGCUGGAAGCAAAAAAUGGUGUAAAGCAAUAUUGCAGUUUUCAACAUAAAAUAUAUAUUUGAAUAUACUACAUAUUUAUGCCACAUACAUGAGUCUAUGUGCCAAUUCAAAUUGUUGACAGUCCGUUAAGAUAAGGUUUAUUUUCAUUGCAGGAAAUAUUCAAAGCCUUUCUGGAAGUGGAACAUGACAGAUUUAAUCUCGCAGCAUGAAGCAGCUUGUGGAUGGUUUAUACUUGUGGACGCAAUGCCACCUACUGGAUAUAACACAUUAUCAAGAUAAUAGAGGUGAAGACUCCACUCUGAACACAGUGUGCACUCAGUGCACUGGUGUAUUUUUCUGUAAGAAUGAUGAAGUGCUGUGGUCAUACACACUAUAUGUUCAAUAUCACACUUUCAACACGUCUUUAUGAUCAUAUUUUUUGUUAAAUAUUUUUUAAUUCAAUCAUCCCAAAAAGACAGAAUUGUCUUUUCCAUUUUGAGCUUGAAGAAUCAACUGUGAGACCUGUUAUGCAGAAUUUCAGUCCAUGUUCUCACACAAAAGAAAGUUGCGCUUCUUCUGCUGCAGUUCUGGUUUUCAUGCAGAUUUUAUUUAAGAGUCAAUUUAAAUACUUGUUUUGUUCCUGUUUUGGUUGUGUAUUUUUUCAAUUAAUUAGUGUAGCACUGCAAGCGAAAUACAACAAAUCAAGGCGGAAGACAUCUUUUCUGGUUCAUUGAGAGAAAUGGGGCUGUCACAAUGUUUACAGAAAUUUCAUGACUGAUGUUUGAUCAUCCAAUCUGUGGCAAGUCUGCAUCUUAUUGUUGCGGUUGUAUGUAACUUUCUCUUUUAUUUCUGUCUACUUUAUGUGUGUACCCGAGUGCACAUUUGCAAUAGAGUUGGUGAUGGAUGGAUGGAUAAAUAAAACAAAAUAUUACUAAA